Molecule: ribosomal RNA, 332 nt
Filed under: uncultured bacterium
Lineage: Bacteria
Description: bacterial SSU rRNA
Rfam family: Bacterial small subunit ribosomal RNA
Source: RNAcentral
CGCGUAGGCGGUUUUUUAAGUCAGAUGUGUAGUCCCCGAGCUCAACUUGGGAACUGCAUCUGAGACUGGAAGGCUAGAGUACUGGAGAGGGUGGUGGAAUUCCUCGUGUAGCGGUGAAAUGCGUAGAGAUGAGGAGGAACACCAGUGGCGAAGGCGGCCACCUGGACAGUAACUGACGCUGAGGCGCGAAAGUGUGGGUAGCAAACAGGAUUAGAUACCCUGGUAGUCCACGCUGUAAACGAUGAACACUUGGUGUGGAGGGAGUUGACCCCUUCCGUGCCGGAGCUAACGCGUUAAGUGUUCCGCCUGGGGAGUACGGUCGCAAGGCUGAA